GUUACCAAACAGCCAAUAAGUUUCAGCUGCGCUAAAGGAAAUUCCGAGGCAAGUUUUGGCGAGUUUUGGUGAAUUUCGGGAAAGGUUCAAGAGACGACGAGGCGAGCAUAGUUAAGAGUAAUCCGUAAGAGGUACAGACGAUUGGUUUGCUGAUCCGCUCGCUUAGGACAUCCACCAUGUUGGUCGACAGUGCUCCUUUGUUCGGAGUCCU
This is a long non-coding RNA of Solanum dulcamara, 211 nucleotides long. RefSeq lists it as uncharacterized. The record is from RefSeq and is a predicted model, not a curated record. The transcript has 3 exons. Lineage: Eukaryota; Viridiplantae; Streptophyta; Magnoliopsida; Solanales; Solanaceae.